This 412-nucleotide long non-coding RNA is filed under the name Monodelphis domestica (gray short-tailed opossum). Its description in RNAcentral is "lncRNA (ENSMODG00000036510.1)". The record is from RNAcentral. Lineage: Eukaryota; Metazoa; Chordata; Mammalia; Didelphimorphia; Didelphidae.
AGACUUGCCAGGGGUCAUUGAGAAGUUAAGUGACUGGCCCAAUUAACAAGCAUGUUGUACAUACCCACCAGGUGCUAUCAUUCAGGAUAAAAAGACAAAAAUUAAAUAGUUCUUACCCUUAAGGGGCUUACAUUCUAUCUUCCAGGACUUGCCAGAGGCAGGACUUAAAUUCCUGAAUUCAUGUCUAGCCUUCAAGCUCCAGAGCCAAGUUAUGUUUUUUGAAAAUGAAUCACUAUGAUUCUUCUAAUGUCUUUGUUGAACAGCCAAGACUGCACAAAUGGGAUAUGGUAAAUGAAAGACAUGAAAGAAGAGAGGAAUGACAUGAUGAACAAGAUUUCCAUACAUCUAUCUAAGGAUCCCUUGAAGGGCCUGUGGAUCUCAGUUCAAGAACCCCUGCAUUAUUGAUUGAUAA